Molecule: ribosomal RNA, 360 nt
Filed under: uncultured fungus
Lineage: Eukaryota; Fungi
Description: eukaryotic LSU rRNA
Rfam family: Eukaryotic large subunit ribosomal RNA
Source: RNAcentral
AUAUCAAUAAGCGGAGGAAAAGAAACCAACAGGGAUUACCCUAGUAACGGCGAGUGAAGCGGUAACAGCUCAAAUUUGAAAUCUGACCUUCACGGGUCCGAGUUGUAAUUUGUAGAGGAUGUUUCGGAUAAGGCUUUGGUUUAAGUUUCUUGGAACAGAACGUCAUAGAGGGUGAGAGUCCCGUCUAGAACCGAUAGCCGCGUUCAUGUGAAACUCCUUCGACGAGUCGAGUUGUUUGGGAAUGCAGCUCAAAAUGGGUGGUAAAUUUCAUCUAAAGCUAAAUAUUGGCCAGAGACCGAUAGCGCACAAGUAGAGUGAUCGAAAGAUGAAAAGCACUUUGAAAAGAGAGUUAAACAGUAU